UCGUCCUAGACCAAGACGAGCCCGCGUGGUACGCCCUCCUCUUCGGGCCAGGCUAGUUCCAUCGACCGGCCCGUGGUUUCCUCUUAGUUUCACGGUGGGAUGAAAUCGACCACGGCUACUAGAGCGCCCCCCCGCCACGACAAGACGGGAACCCAUUCGGGGGGGCACGCGGUGUAUCUUAGUCUGAGCCCGCGCUUGCGACUCUACACUCGUGUCCCGCGCACUUGUACGCGCUAAAUCUCGUGUGUUCAAAAAGCAUGCGGGCAGUAUAUCUUUUUCUACAAACGUUACUUAUUGAGAACCAUUGAAGUUCAAAGUGAAUUUAGUGUGCUGUGAAAGUGAUCUCAAGAAUACUAUACUGUAUUUAUUUGCAUUUAUUUUUGCGCCCAGUCAGUAUUACUAAGCAGUUUUGUUUUUGGAUUGUAUUAAAGUUACAAUGAAGUUUAAUGAAAAUGGACAUAGCCAAUUUUUCCGCCCUGAAAAAUGUAAAUCAAGCAACAACAGAAGUAGAUUUCCUUGUGAAAAGGUUCGUCCAGGGAAGUACUGCCACCAUACCUAUUCCUCCACCAAGCAGCGAUGUGAGGUGCUGGUGAAACUACAGCAGACGAAUUUAUGGAAACAGAUGAAGACACUCGCCGGGGCAACCUCCUCGACGACAUGCCACCGAUGAACUGCGGAGGUUCCGUGGAGGGCGGUGUGAGCACUAGCACCAACGAUAUCGGCGAUAUGACUUUCUGCAUGGGCAACUAUAUUACGGAUUUUAUGAAGAUGAUGUUCACAAUGCGAUCCCACCAUAUGCUGACGGACGUCAUAUUAGAAGUUGGAAACGAGUUGUUUCACGUUCACAAAGUGGUAUUGGCAGCUGGCAGCCCUUAUUUUAAAGCAAUGUUCACAAGCGGUCUGAAAGAAUGCGAAAUGUCACGCGUUCGACUGCAAGGCGUGUGUCCCUCAGCUAUGGCGUGGUUGGUCUACUUCAUGUACACGGGAAAGAUCAGGAUCACUGAAGUUACUGUGUGUCAGUUACUGCCAGCUGCUACUAUGUUCCAGAUCGCGAACGUGAUAGAGGCCUGCUGCUCAUUCCUCGAAAAGCAACUGGAUUCUUCCAACGCUAUCGGCAUUGCCAACUUCGCUGAACAACAUGGCUGCGCUGAUUUGAAGCAAAAGGCCAACCAGUUCAUUGAAAGAAAUUUUAGCCAGGUAUGCCAAGAAGAAGAAUUCCUUCAGCUGACUGUACAACAAUUGAUAUGUUUAAUACGAAAGGACGAGCUGAACGUAAAGGAAGAACGAGAAGUUUACAACGCUGUCAUAAAUUGGGUGAAAUACGAUGAAGACCGCAGACAUCCGCGGAUGGAGCAUAUAUUACAAGCUGUCAGAUGCCAGUACCUCACUCCUAGCUUCUUGAAAGAACAAAUGAGCACAUGUACCGUACUCAAAAAAGUGCCCGCCUGCAGAGAAUACCUUGCUAAGAUUUUCAAGGAUCUAACAUUACACAAAAGGCCAGUUGUUAAAGAACGUCGACCAAACACGCCUCGCAUAAUCUACGUGGCGGGUGGGUACUGCAGACAUUCCAUCGAUCUGUUCGAAGCUUUCAACUUAGAUGACAACUGCUGGACUACUUUGCCUCGACUCACGGUACCGAGAUCUGGGCUUGGAGCUGCUUUUCUUAAGGGUUUGUUUUUCGCGGUGGGCGGGCGUAAUACGUCGCCGGGCUCGUCAUAUGACAGCGACUGGGUCGACGUGUACAAUCCCGUCAGUGAACACUGGCGGCCUUGCAGCCCCAUGUCCACACCUCGGCAUAGAGUGGGAGUAGCAGUUAUGGAUGGUUUACUGUAUGCAGUCGGAGGCUCUGCAGGAUCGCAAUACCAUAGAUCCGUUGAAUGCCUUGACCCCGAAACAGACACCUGGACAACGGUGGCAUCGAUGUCGUGCGCGCGUCUCGGCGUCGGAGUAGCCGUGGUUAACCGACUACUGUACGCUGUUGGCGGCUUCGACGGUGCGCGACGAGUUAACACCGUCGAGUGCUACCAUCCUGAAAACAAUUGCUGGAACGAGGUCGCGCCCAUGAAUAUCGCCAGGAGUGGUGCAGGGGUAGCAGCGUUGAACCAAUACAUCUACGUAGUAGGCGGUUACGACGGGUCGCAGCAACUAGCGUCUGUAGAGCGAUACGACACUGAACGAAAUAUGUGGGAAGCCGUUGCUCCGCUGUCCAUGGCAAGAUCUACGCUAUCGUUGACUGUUUUGGACAAUAAGUUAUAUGCUAUGGGCGGUUACGACGGCACAUCAUUCCUAAACAUAGUUGAAGUAUACGAUCCACCAACCAAUGUAUGGAAGAUCGGAACACCGCUCACCUCAGUGCGGUCCGGGCAUGCCUCCGCCGUGUGCUACCAGCACGUUUCGCCACAUUCCGAACACAACGAACAAAUCCCCACCGUGAUGACAAAACUGAACAGACGAGCGUCACCACCUGAUUCCUCCAACUCUGGCCCUUCGAGAAGCGAAGACAUACCAAUGGCUAAUAAUAUCAUAGGCACCCUAUCCAAUACAAGAGGAUGCUUAUAGCAACAGAUAUAGAAUAUUUUCUGAAAGAAAUUCUAAAGACAUUCCUUUUCCAUUAUGUCCUGUUCUCAGUGCAAUCAGUAUGUGUAUGAAUGAUUAUUAUUAACAUGUGAUACGAGUUAUGUGAUAAGAGUUACUUAUUUGUUAUUAGUUUAUAAUAGUAGUAAACAUUGUUGGCCAUCACAGCUAGUUAAAUUUAUUAGACAGACAUCCGUAUACAGGUUGUAACGGGUAGGGUAUAUCAAAUCAAAUGCACCGAUUUACGUAGAAAUUCAGAUAUGAUGGCCACUAUACGCCGUGUAAGUUCCAGUCGAUUAAAGUUACGGUGUCCUGUGCAACUUGCGCUGGUUUUAAAGGCUUUAUAAUCAUAAAACCAACCGGUUUUAUACGCAGUACUUGUAAUUUAAUAUUGCAUUAAACACUAAAAUCACAAACGUCGUACAUCUUGGAAAUACUGUAGUAACACAGCGUAUAGUUCUUGUGGGUACGGGUUUUUUUUAAGAUAGUAUAACUGUCCUUUAUUACAAGUUGUUUUUGCCUCUUCCUUGGGCGUAGGAGGAUGUUUUAAAUUGCCCGUAAUCCUGGUAUCGUUGCCGUAAAACUGCCUCUGACGCCUUUGACGCGAACUUUCUAAAAAAUAUAAUUCACUCGUAGUGCUAAGACACACUUGGUUUGAAAAUUUAUAUAGUUCUUAAAUUUUAAAAAUUAAUCAUGUUUGUAUACCUCAAAAUGUUCACAGACCUUUUCAAUCAGAUAGGUACCUUAUUAGGUCCAUUUAUUUAUAUACCCUUUCCGUUACAGCCUGUAUAAAUACAUACGCACAAAUUGUUGAGAAUUUUUUAUUGGUGCCAAAAUUUUUUUACACUUUUUGACCGUCUACACGUGCACGGCCUGUAAAGGUUCUUUUCAAUUCUUGAAUUGUCCUUGAACAGUCCUGUUCUUGUUCGUUGUAUACUCUGUCUUGAUAUGAUUUCUUGGUUGAAAUUACCAGAUUGUGAAACAGUAUACGUGAACAGUGUAACUAUGACCCGCCGAACUUUCUUAAAUUGUAUAUAUGGACGUAAUAAAAGGCAACCUAACAACAAAGCUGUUGCAAUAGAUUGUUAACUCGAAUGUUUUGUCUGGUCAAAAUCAAUUUUGCGAUCACACUAGAAACACUUGGUCGAAUUCUAUAUCCGAAAAUAUUAUUAUUAUUUUCUUACGUAAUUGUUGCUAUUUGAAGGUUCUCAGAGUUGUGCGUUAAGAAAAUGACAAAAAUAUUUUUAUUUAUUUCACCCUUCACAACCAAUCAUCCUUGGGUGAUAAGUGAGAUUAUAUAUCUAUGAGAGCACAAUAAUUGCGGUCUACUGCAAUCAUCGACUAAAGUAGCGAAUUGGAAUAAUUUAUGUAUUAUAUAUUUUUUAUCUUCGUGUUGUUGAAAAAGAGCCUUACAUAUGGGAUUAUUGUACAUAGAAUUAGAGUCUUCGGUGAUAUUCUAUUUAAUACACCGAUGUACGCCUCGGCUUUAUUAAAUUUGCACCUAGUUUGCUUCCCAUUAAUUUAGGAAAACUUUGUAUUUCCCUUACGCGACAAAAGGCAUCUGAAAGAUUUUUUUAUUAAUGCGAUAGUAUUUGUAUUAUUUACUAUAAAUAAACAUUAUCUAUUAUAAGGGUAAUUAAAAAACAUGGAAUAC
This is an RNA transcript of Hyposmocoma kahamanoa, 4228 nucleotides long. It is a transcript of the gene named kelch-like ECH-associated protein 1, with no coding region annotated. Lineage: Eukaryota; Metazoa; Arthropoda; Insecta; Lepidoptera; Cosmopterigidae. The transcript is spliced from 15 exons. The record is from RefSeq and is a predicted model, not a curated record.